Molecule: ribosomal RNA, 439 nt
Filed under: uncultured bacterium
Lineage: Bacteria
Description: bacterial SSU rRNA
Rfam family: Bacterial small subunit ribosomal RNA
Source: RNAcentral
UACGGGAGGCAGCAGUGGGGAAUAUUGCACAAUGGGCGCAAGCCUGAUGCAGCCAUGCCGCGUGUAUGAAGAAGGCCUUCGGGUUGUAAAGUACUUUCAGUCGUGAGGAAGGUGUUAAGGUUAAUAACCUUAGCAAUUGACGUUAGCGACAGAAGAAGCACCGGCUAACCCCGUGCCAGCAGCCGCGGUAAUACGGAGGGUGCGAGCGUUAAUCGGAAUUACUGGGCGUAAAGGGCACGCAGGCGGUUAAUUAAGUUGGAUGUGAAAUCCCCGGGCUUAACCUGGGAAUGGCAUUCAAGACUGGUUAGCUAGAGUCUUGUAGAGGGGGUAGAAUUCCAUGUGUAGCGGUGAAAUGCGUAGAGAUGUGGAGGAAUACCGGUGGCGAAGGCGGCCCCUGGACAAAGGCUGACGCUCAUGUGCGAAAGCGUGGGGAGCAAAC